GGGAUAGCCCAGGGAAACCUGGAUAAUACCGGAUGAGACGGGACCCGCGAUGGCGGGACCCGGGAAAGGCGCUGCGGCGCCGCCGGGGGAUGAGUCUGCGUCCCAUUAGCUAGACGGCGGGGUAACGGCCCACCGUGGCGACGAUGGGUAGCCGGCCUGAGAGGGUGGACGGCCACAUUGGAACUGAGACACGGUCCAGACUCCUACGGGAGGCAGCAGCUAAGAAUCUUCCGCAAUGGGCGAAAGCCUGACGGAGCGACGCCGCCGUGAACGAAGAAGGCCGUGAGGUUGUAAAGUUCUUUUCGGGAGGGGGAACAACCGGUGGCAGGGAAUGGCCGCGGGAUGACGUGAAUCCCGGAAUAAGCCCCGGCUAACUACGUGCCAGCAGCUGC
RNAcentral lists this ribosomal RNA (392 nucleotides) under uncultured bacterium. Its description in RNAcentral is "bacterial SSU rRNA". It matches the Rfam family "Bacterial small subunit ribosomal RNA", at positions 140 to 518 of the family's 1533-position model. The record is from RNAcentral.